Neopelma chrysocephalum (saffron-crested tyrant-manakin) is the source of this 682-nucleotide long non-coding RNA. RefSeq lists it as uncharacterized. The record is from RefSeq and is a predicted model, not a curated record. Lineage: Eukaryota; Metazoa; Chordata; Aves; Passeriformes; Pipridae. The transcript is spliced from 3 exons.
CUGACAACCUAGUUCAGUUCAUAAGUUAAUAUCCACAUCAUGAAAUGAGCAUUAUUUCACUGCUGCUGAGAACCUCAGCAAGGUGGAUAGAAGCUCAAAUUGUAAGGAAUACACCAUUUUUACUUUCCAUUAUAUUAUUUCUGAUUUCUAGGAAGUCUGUGAGCAGAAAAUAACUCCUUGUGGAAAGGAAAGGCUUUGAAAAUUUAAAACUCGGUUUUUCUUCAGAAAAAAUCGUCAGAUGGUCAAAAAUCCUUAUAUAAUCUAAAGUUUUAAGAGUCCAUAGUUAAAUUCUUGAUAUGGGUAAGAAGUUUUAAAGUUCAAUAAUGACAUAUUCUUCUGGGUAGAUGGAAAAUCUAAAGCUAUUUUUAUUCAUUAUUUAGGUUUCAAAAUGAUACUUGUUGUUUACACAGUCAAGUUCCUUUACUGCAUUACCUUGUGGUAAUAGGUUUGAAAAAGUCGAAUGUGAAGUGUGAUAUGUCUCCAGAAAAAACAGGAGGAUUGAAGGAAAACCUGAAGAAUUUUUAGUUCAUACAUAGCCAAUAUACAAGAAGGAUAAAAAAGAUCCUACAGAAAAAGCAUCAGCCUUACACCUUUGCUGCCUGCUGACAUCAAAGCAUUUCUGAGCCCAAGCCCCCACUGUUUCAAGCAUUGCAUAAAUUACGUGAGCUGAGAAUAUUUGACA